GAUGAACGCUGGCGGCAUGCCUAACACAUGCAAGUCGGACGGGAGGUCGUGAUUCCAGUGGCGGUCGGGUGAGCAACGCGCGAGAGCGUGCCCUUGGGAGGGGAACCACAGCUGGCAACGGCUGCUACUACCCCGUAGGCUGAGGAGCAAAAGGUGGAAUCCGCCAGAGGAGGGGCUUGCGACUGAUUAACUAGCUGGUGCGGCAAUAGCUUACCGAGGUGCUGAACAGUAGCUGGUAGGAGAGGAAGAUCGGCCACACUGGUACGGAGGCACGGAGCAGGCUCUUUCGGGAAACGGGAGUGAGGAAGAUUCAGCAAUGGGCGGUGGGCGGACGAGGCAUUGGGGUGGGGAAGUAGAAUUCCUAGGGAAGAAGAACUGCUUUUCCCGGAGAAGAAGCAAUGACGGUACCUAAGGAAUAAGCAUCGGCUAACUCCGUG
RNAcentral lists this ribosomal RNA (437 nucleotides) under uncultured bacterium. RNAcentral's name for it is "partial 16S ribosomal RNA". It matches the Rfam family "Bacterial small subunit ribosomal RNA", at positions 28 to 507 of the family's 1533-position model. The record is from RNAcentral.